RNAcentral lists this ribosomal RNA (402 nucleotides) under uncultured bacterium. RNAcentral describes it as "partial 16S ribosomal RNA". It matches the Rfam family "Bacterial small subunit ribosomal RNA", at positions 28 to 525 of the family's 1533-position model. The record is from RNAcentral.
GACGAACGCUGGCGGCGUGCCUAAUACAUGCAAGUCGAACGCAGUGGGGACGGGUGAGUAACACGUGGGUAACCUCCCAUCAGAGGGGAUAACACUUGGAAACAGGUGCUAAACCGAUACUGAUGGAUGGACCCGCGGUGCAUUAGCUAGUUGGUGAGGUAACGGCUCACCAAGGCCACGAUGCAUAGCCGACCUGAGGGGGGGAUCGGCAAAAUGGGGACUGAGACACGGCCCAGACUCCUAGGGGAGGAAGCAGUAGGGAAUCUGCGGAAAGGGACGAAAGUCUGACCGAGCAACGCCGGGUGAGUGAAGAGGGUUUUCGGAUUGUAAAACUCUGUUGUUAGAGAAGCGGUAUCUAACCAGAAAGCCACGGCUAACUACGUGCCAGCAGCCGCGGUAAAC